UGCUAUGGAUUUUACAUGUUAUCUCAUUUAAACUGAUGCUGAUCUGCAGGUGGAGAGAGCUGUGUGGCCAACUUUGGAGACUGCCCCUGUUUCAGCCUCCAGGAGAGUCUGUGACAAGGAGUGGGCUCCCUCUCCAAGGUGCUUGGAUUCCUCUGAAGAAAGAAAGCAAGGAAACAUGAAGUAUGGUGAUGGUGGCAUUUUCAAGGAGAUGGGAAAACUAAGGACCUAAAAUAAGACAUCACUUGCUAAGUCAUACCAUGAGUUGGAACUGAAAUUAACUCCUAGCUCUGCCCUGUGACUUCAAGAC
Gorilla gorilla gorilla (western lowland gorilla) is the source of this 307-nucleotide long non-coding RNA. RefSeq lists it as uncharacterized. The transcript has 3 exons. Lineage: Eukaryota; Metazoa; Chordata; Mammalia; Primates; Hominidae. The record is from RefSeq and is a predicted model, not a curated record.